GACGAACGCUGGCGGCGUGCUUAACACAUGCAAGUCGAACGGCAAGGCACUGCUUUUGUGGGGUGAUCGAGUGGCGAACGGGUGAGUAACACGUGAGUAACCUGCCCUUGACUUUGGGAUAACUUAAGGAAACUGGGGCUAAUACCGGAUAGGAGCUCCUGCUGCAUGGUGGGGGUUGGAACGUUUCGGCGGUUGGGGAUGGACUCGCGGCUUAUCAGCUUGUUGGUGGGGUAGUGGCUUACCAAGGCAUUGACUGGUAGCCGGCCCGAGAGGGUGACCGGCCACAAUGGUACUGCGAUACGGACCAGACUCCUACGGGAGGCAGCAGUGGGGAAUAUUGCACAAUGGGCGGAAGCCGGAUGCGGCAACGCCGCGUUCGGGAUGACGGCCUUCGGGUUGUAAACCGCUUUCGCCUGUGACGAAGCGUGAGUGACGGUAAUGGGUAAAGAAGCACCGGCUAACUACGUG
RNAcentral lists this ribosomal RNA (468 nucleotides) under uncultured bacterium. Its description in RNAcentral is "partial 16S ribosomal RNA". It matches the Rfam family "Bacterial small subunit ribosomal RNA", at positions 28 to 507 of the family's 1533-position model. The record is from RNAcentral.